Molecule: long non-coding RNA, 14431 nt
Filed under: Coffea arabica (coffee)
Lineage: Eukaryota; Viridiplantae; Streptophyta; Magnoliopsida; Gentianales; Rubiaceae
Description: long non-coding RNA (CARA_LNC004569)
Source: RNAcentral
ACCCGAAAUGUCGACCAACAAUGCAGCAAGUGGUGAACCGAUUUGAAGAGGGCAGGCGAGAACCAACUAGGCCUUUGCACACCAUUGCUGUGAAUCAGCUUGUUAGUCCACCAGUACUUUCACUGCGUGACCAAACCUGCGCAGAUGGGACGAGUAGCUUAAGCACCAUAAAUGAAUUCCAUGUGGAUGUCUCUGCGACUCUGCCAUCAUCCAAUUUUUCUGUCCAUGCUUCUACCUAAACAACUUUGACAUUUGGUAGGAAACAGAAUAAGAUCGUGCUUUGCAAAAUGGAAACUUGGCCAAGCACUUAGAUUGCUGCUACAUACUGCCAUUUGGUGUGCUAAUGACAAAAAAAGGUGUGCUAAUUAAUGAAGAAGUAGUUUAAGCACCAUGAAUGACUCUCAAGUGGAUAUCUCUGCCAUAUCCAAUUUUUCUAUCGAUGUUUCUACCUACCUAUGAUAUUUAUAGCGAAGGAGAAUUUACUACUUGUCUUUAUUUAUGUAGGUGAAUUCUAGGCAGAGCAACACUUACCAAUCUAACAAUUUGCAAUUCCAAGUCUAGAUUUAAAGAAAUAUUGGUUUAAGGAUUCAAAUAUACAAAACUCAUGCCAAAAAUGAGAUGAUCAGGUCAAUCCAAAGUUGUAUUUAAAAAAAAAUAAAUUUGCAUAAAUUCUAGCUUGCAUAACCUAUAGGGAUAAUUUUAGAAACCUCCCUUGAAAUUUUUGACAAUUGCAGAGACCUCCCCUCAAGUUUAUUAAAUUACACCUACCUCCCUUGCUUUUACUAUUUAUGUAACAAUAUAGGCCCAAAAGACUAUAUUUUUUCUCAAAAAUUCUAAACUACCCUUUUUGUACAAAAAUAAAACAAAAAUUAUGUUGCCAAUUGCUUUCUUUCAUAUUUCAACCAAACCCAGUGUACUAACAAACUAACCUAACAAAUAGUCUAAUUCCAAAUUCUAAACCCAAGUAAUUCCAUCAUCAUAGUCAUACAAUUACUUCUCCUAAAGCAUGCAUUCAAUUUUGAAGAUUCGUUCCAUUUUUCAAAAAUAUUCUCACCAUAUGGUUAUGACAAGUGCCAAACCUGUGCAAUAAUAAUUAUUAAAAAGUCCUAAUUACUACCACAAUUAAUUAUAGAACAAAUCCAAGUACUGGAGCAGGGAACCUAGGUGUGCAAUGGGUUACUUGAUUCACCCUAUUCCCGAAGAGUUUGCUUGAUCCGAUAUACCAGAUUUGUCUAUAAAAAUAUUAACUUUGCGUACAAUGGCAAGUAGGGUCGAUUCCACAGGGAGCGGGUAGGAAAUUAUUCUUUCCAAAUUAGUAGAACGGAAUUGGGGGAUUUUCAAUGGGAGGCAAAUAAAAAUGAAAUAAAACAACAAAAUUCAAAACUAACUCACAAAGCACAAAUUUACUAAAAAUAGCAAUUAAUAGAAGUUCUACCCAAAGGAUCAACUGCUCAGGCACGGUCCAAUUAAAUGAUCAUUGAUGCAAAGAUAUUUCACCCAUUCAUCACUAGGUUGGUUAUAGUUGUCAACAAGGUCUGACAACCAGUUCUUCCUUACUUUCUCGACAGUCAAGGUACGACCAUUGACUGCUUCUCUAACCAGAUAACAACCCUAGGUACGACCAUAGGAAUUUAAUUACCCAAUUGCAUUAAAGGUAGAAGAACCCAACCCUAACUAAUAAACACGCUAAGAGGGUUUAUUUAAAUUAGAUCUUACGUUUCCCCAACAUAAAGCCAAUUAUGGUGGUUGUCACUAGGUAUCAACUAAACGAACAAUUACGGAUUCAAUUUAGUUAAUGUGACAGUAGGCUAUUAAAUUAAAUCAAAUACCCGGCCGUUGAUAUUUAAUUAAUAAAAUACCCAUGAACAAUUAAUUCAGGAAACGCACGAAUAGUAAUAAUUUGGAAGAAAUAAAGAAGAUUCGAUUAGAUCUCACAGACAUUGUGGAUCGCGCCUUCGCGUCGACCUUUGGGUGGAGGAGAAAGCUAGCCGCUCCUCAUCGUGUCAAUCCCGCGUGAUUUAAUUGAAUUCAUUCAAUUAAUUUCUGAAGAAUUGGAAAGGUGAAACAACGAAGGAACAGUUCUUCGUAUUUUGCGUCUACGCUCGAGCCGCCAGCACAAGGGAAAUCUCACGAAAUUUAGAAGAGUCAAAAGUGAAAAGUGAAAAGGGUCUCGAUUGUACAGAGCCCAGAUGCAAUACGAAAAAUCUCCAAUGUCUGACCGCUAGCCGAAGAAGAAACAAAAGCAAAGAAAAGUGUCUAGCCAAAAAUUGCAAAAAGUAAAACUAAAGCUAAAAGAAGUGAUCCCCCCGAAUCUUGCUUUUUCCUCCUUUUUAUAGCCGCCGUCAGUAGUAUUCCUCCCAGGAAGAGGCUUUUGCCUAAGGGGCGCUGAUCCCACGCUUCAGGUUCACGUGGACCGGGGUCCGUCUUUUCGGUAGCAUCUACCUUUUCUGGCGUGGCCACGCCCUGAGAUGAAAGGUCUUCUGGAAAUUUACCUCAAGAUAUCAUUUUUAAUGCUAACCACCUACAAUUCACACAAACAUCAAAUAUGAGUGAAAUUCCAUUUCUUAACACCAUGAAUAGCCAAAAUUAGGACAAGAUGACAAUGCAAAAUAUUCCAAAUAACUGCUCUAUCAGGUUAUAUGGAAUGGUCAAAUUCACAAUCAACUGCCUUAUGUUUGCAUAAUUUUCAACAUAGAAUGCCAUGGUUUGGUUCCAUGUAAGUGGUUUAACUCCUACUACAUGAGUCACAUUUUGGUCUUGAAGAAAAUCCUUAGGGAAGGUUUAGGCAUGGAUGGAAUUAAUCAAGUUUAAGAAAAGGAAAGGCAUCAUUAUGACUAUAGAGAUUUUCAAGAAAUUCAUUUUGCCAAAAAUCAAAAUUCUAUUUCCAAUUAAUCACCCCACAAACUUGAAACCCAAUGCCCACACCUUCUCAAAACAAAAUAAUUUAGCAUACUAUUAAAUCCCCAAACAUGUUAACAUUUUAAAUACAGAGAAGAAACUCUAUCUCCAUAACGAAACCACAACCAACAAUUGUCAAGAAUAAAAAGAAAGACAUCAUAAAAAGUUUUUUGGAUGGAUGAUAGAUAAGUUAGCAAAUUUAUCAAUUUCAAUCCCUCUUCCUCUUUUCGCCAAUGAUUGCAUUAUUUGUUCCAUUAUUAUUGUGUGUCUCUUCAUUUCCUUUUAAUUUGACCAUUUACUUCAAUCAUCAAAUCUAAUCUCUCAACUAAACUUGUGAUUUGACAUUUUUAAAGAGAAGAAAAGAGGAAUAGAAAUAUAUAAUAGAGUUUGAGGGAUCACUUGUGGUAUGAUUGGCUGCAAUUAUAGGCAAUGGUUGGUGGUAAUUUGAGAGCGAAUUAUUGGAAGAAAGGGUUGAUGGAUGAAAAUAGAAUGAUAAUAAGCGAGAGAAUCGUCGUUAGCUGUAACUUGUAAACAGGAUAGCAAAAAAGGUUAAGUUUCUUUUUCUUUUUUUUUUUUAAAUCUCAUUUCAUUAUACUAUGAAUUAUUUAUUAAGUGAAGGUCAUUAUAGUCAUAUUAUUGAGACAAGGGAGGUUAGUGUAAUUUGUAAAAAAACGAGAGGAGCCGAGUGAAAUUGUCAUAAACCUCAAGGGAGGUUUGUGAAAUUAUCCCUAACCUAUAACCAAAUUUAAAAUUCGAACUCUAAAUAUGUAGCAUGCAUUUGCCUUUACUAGUUAAAAGAGAAAAAGGGAUUUCACACUUAAGAAAUUAUUGAAACAUAAAUGAUGCAAACUUUCUUUUAAAAUAAUUUUUUAAUAUAAAUGUGCGAGUUUUUAUCAAUCUCUAGUUUGCCAAAUAAACAUAGAAUGAUUUUCAAUACGAAUUUAUUAUAUCACCUAUUAGUUUUAAUUCACUAAACUCAACCGCAAAAAAGAAAAAACAUAAACAGCAAUUUUCGAAAUGUGGAACCUAUAUUCAGCGGGCUACUAUUUUGGUGCUUAUGACCCCAUAAGUCGAUUGCUGCGAUUUUUUGCUUCCUCCUAGGAAGCCCCAAAAGAAGAAAAAAAAAAUGAGUUUCCCGGUUGCUCAUCAAUUGAGGAAAACGCUGGUGAUUCCUUUUUUUUUUUUUUUUUUUUUUUUUUUUUUUUUUUGAGGAAAAGGCUGGUGAUUCCUUAUUGCUUCCUGGAUUUUUAACCUAAAGUGUAUAAUAGCUUGAGAAAACGUUGUACUAUUAAAAGAAAUUCUGGACCACAUCAAGUACCCCAUAGUAUCCAAGUAAACAGCGAGUUGAUACGUGCAAGGAGGCAGGGGCGGUGGCUGUUGGGUUGGAGUGGAGUGGACAUUUGCGUUGGGUUAGUGGGCUUAAGUUGUUUACAGAAUGGUUGGUAAAAAAAAAAACUAUGGUUGGGUUUACAGAUGGUUGAUGAUAGUGUUAUACCCAGUAUUCCUGGUACGCAUUCAGAAUCUGCUUCUAAGAGUAGAACUGAUAAUUUGAGUAAUCUUGACCUUUCUUGAUAUGUGAACCAAGGAAUGCCUCUGCCUGGAUGUAUUGUUCACCAAGAAACCUAGUCUCAUGUUUCUGGCAGAUUGGAUGAUCAAAAUGGUUCUUGCAAAUAUACUUUUGGAAGAAAUUGGUGGCCACCUUCUGGUUCGUUUGCCGCCAACCAUCCAGUUUGACCUGCUUAUGGAAGAAGUUGGAGGCCAUGAUAAUUGAAUGCAGGAUCUGUAAACUGCUGUAAUGUAUAUAUUGCUCCUCAUAGUCGAAAUAGUGAUGCCUGCCUGCUGACAAAUUGACCAUAUUAGCUUUUGGAAUUUGAAUCUUGCGAGUCUGGAUUCUUUUCUGGUUGCUUGCAAGCUUCUUAACAUACAUUGCAGGAUUAUACUUCUUGUACAUGUAAAAAUUUUCAGGAGGUGCGAAAAAAGGCACUCGAGUUAUAAUUCUAUUUUAUAACAAAAAAUGCAAAAAUAAAUAAACAAUUAUUAUGUAGUUAGCCAAUUUGGCUUUUCUUUUCUUAGCUAGCUAUGUGUUCCAAAGCAAACAUUCUGGUAUAAAAAGCUAUAUGUGCAAGUAUUGCGCAUGAAUGGAAAUAUAGAAACAUAUUAGUAGAGGGCUAAUAGAAAGUUAAGUUAUGGUAUAGAUGUUAUGCACUUAUUAGGUUAGAUCCCAUCUCCCUUUAAUUUUUUUAUUAUUAGAAAAUGAUAAACAGUAUUAGCAGAUGUAGUUUUGUAAGUUCCAUAGAAAACCUUAGGGCUUCACACUGUUAUAAUUUUGUUAAAUUUUUGGACAAUUUUGCUCUCCCUUUACUCCCAUGACGGUGAAGUUUUACAAUUUUUCUUCCUAUCCAUCCCUUCACCCAUGAUCCGAUAUCACUACUCCAAAACCCAAACAUCCAAUACCAAUGCGAAUGCUUCACACUUUGGUAAAACUCUGGCAAAGGUAUCAGAGUUUCCAAACUUUGAACUCGAGCCAGGUGGUUUCAAUUGCUUCCUCAUUUCUGGCUUGAGAUUAGAUGAUCAAGCUAUACACAGUACACACCAAUUCUUAAAGAGCUUGGUACUCGAAGAAAUUCCGGAGAAGUUGAGAAGCAGAAACCAACCAUGAUAGUAAAGUGGGCAAGGGAAAGCCAUGCACACAUGCCCAUUGAUUGUCGACAAACCCUUAGUCAUCAUUUGGUUUUGAUUAGACAAAUAUGAACUCAGCAUUUGUUUCAUGUAAUGAUAGCCAUAAAGGAAUCUUGAAGGCUAGAAAGAUUUCUCGUGACUCUCUCAAAAGAAAGAAAGUUCUGAUGCUUCUUUUCUUUUUGGUCGUAACUUAGGUCAUUCUUGCUUUUAGUCUCCUAAACUGGCAAGCUAAGCCUUAAAUGCUAAAAUUUAUAACUAAUUCUUGUUUUAAAAUCUGCCCUUAGAAUUUAUUUACUCGAUCUUGGGAGGGGCUAAACUCUACAUCCUCCAUCUUAAGUCCGUAUUUGGAACAAUUUCUAAUAUUAAUGCUACAAAUUAUCUUUACUAACAGUACAAGCCAUUAAUGCAUUAAAGAGUACGUGAAUUUAGACUGUAGAGCCGUAGAAGUAUAGAUUUAGAUUUGAGAAGCACAAAGAGAAUAAUAAAUUAGAUUUGAGAAGCAUACGAGGAUGCUGGAGUUUGUUUUUAAACUAAAGUUUAGGAAAAAAAAAUGAAAGAAGAGGACAUGAAACAAAGUUGUUAGAUAUUAAGGGGAAGUUAAGUUUCCUCGGUGGGAAGAAAUUGUUAGAUAAAAGAUAUUUAAUAUUUUUUGUAAUGCCAGAAAGAAGAUGCCAUUUUUGCCUGUCGAACAAACAUCAUGUUAUUGGAGUAGAAAGAGACACUUUUAAACCAAAAUAUUACUGCUAAUUUUCUCCCAUUUCACGGUUCUCAAACAACAGAUAGGAAAGUUCUAAUAUUUCCUCUUUUCUUUUUUAUGGUAACUUAGGUCAUUCUUCCUUCUUUCGUUUUUAAUAACCUAAACUCACAAGCUAACCCUUAUCUGCUAAAAUUUACAAUUAAUUAUUUUGGAUAAAUUACAUUUUACCCCCUAUGAUUUAGCAUUUUUUACAUAACCCCCUAUGAUUUUAAAAAUUAUACAUAACCCCCUCAAGGUUUGGAUUGAAGUGUCAAAGUGACGGAAAUAGUCAUUCGUAACGGAACUUCUAAAAAUAUCGAAAUUACCCUUAUAAAUACAUGACACACUAACCCCCUCAUGGUUUAAUACUUUAUCAUAUAACUCCCUUAUAGUUUAAUACUUUACCAUAUAACCUCCUUAUAGUUUUUAAAAUAUACAUAUAACCCCCCUUGGUUAAUAAAUAAUUUUCAACUUUACAUAAGGAUAUUUUAGAUAUUUUAGAUUACUCCGUUACGAAUGAUCAUUUCCGUCACUUUGACACUUUAAUCCAAACCAUGAGGGGGUUAUGUAUAACUUUUGAAACAAUAGGAGGGUUAUGUAAAAAAAGCUAAACCACGUACAGGGGGUAAAAGUGGAAUUUGCCCAAUUAUUUUUUAAAAGCUGUGCUUAAUAUAUAUACUCCUUAGAAUGGAGAACCAUAAGAGGAUAAUGGAGUAUGUUUUUAAAUUGAAAAAGAAAAGGUUACGAGUAGUUUCCUUUUAAUUGUACCACAUUUGUUGAUUUUUGGCAAACCAUAUCAAUUCAUCAGUUGAAAUUCAAUUAGUAAAAUUCUCUGCUUGUUAAAAGUUCAAAGUAGUAAUGGAAGAUUUCUUGUAUGUAUAGUUUUUUCCCCUCUUGUUGAAGAUUGUCUAUAAUUCUUUUGCUUUAUAUAUAAGAACAGUCACUACAGUUAAUGGCAUUGAUAAGAACAACGUACACUUCAAGUUUGAAGACGGACCUUGACUCUCAAAAGUGGAAUCAACUAAUCCAGACUGCAUUGCGAGUCUUCAAGUUUGAGGGCCAGUGUGUUUAAUGGCAUUUCUAAGAAAUUCCACACAACAAUUCUAGUGGAAAACGGAUCUUUGGCUCUCAAAAGCGGAAUCAGAUCAAUUCCAAGUGCUCUCGUUUAACUCUCCAUAUGUAGUCUUUAAAUCCAGACUAUCUACGGGACUUGAGGCUUUCUGUUCCCUCAGGUAUUGUAAGGCUUGUAGUAUCGGUAAGGUUUUGAUCAUGGUUUGUAGGUUAACCAUGAGUUUAACUUGAAGCCAUGAUACCAAAAGAGAUUGUAGAAUCUCUCACAAUUAUAUCAGCAUAAGUUUACAAUGUGUUAUAGAUUUUCAGAAUAACUAAAUGUCUACAAUGAGUAGACCACUUUAUUCGAUGUUAAAACAAUUUAAAGAGGAAUUAUCUACAAUUUGUUUUUAAUUGCAAUAAUUAAAAGGUCAUCUAAUGGUAUAAACUAACAUAAUGAUUAAAACUAUGCAUAAAAAUUGUAUAAAAGUGCACAAUAAUAAAAAUUAUGCAUUGAGGGCUAGAUGUAUGGUUUCAUAUACGCAAUAGGCAAAUAAUGUAUACACAAUUUAACUAUCAAAUGAACGUUUAGUUAACUUGUAAUUCAUAAGGUUAAGAAAAGUUUAAUGUUAAGUGCAUAAGAUUUGUUAGAAACAAAAUAAAAAUAGCAUUGUGUAACAUAUUUUAUUUUAAUGCUGCAUUGGUGAUAACUGUAUAAAAUUUUAUACUCAAAUGUAUGCAUUCCAAAAGUGUCAAUUUUACAAUUCUUAGUAUAUAAUUAUGUUUUGAUCCACAGUAUUAUUAAAAAGUCUUUCAACACAAUAGAUGUAGUCCCGUUAAAAACGCGGGUUAAGAACUAGCUUAAAUAAAAGUUAAACCAUACAAGAGUAUUUCAUUUGAUAGGUUGGCUAGCCAGUGUCUAAGGGUACGCGUUAUUGAUUAAAAGGGUGUCUCAGCUGUUAAUAUGUUGACAAAAGUAAGUGACUGUGCAUUCAUCUUGUAAAUGCGAUUUAAAUGUUUUAACGAGUUUCGCCAUUCAUUAAAAAUCCUUAAUACAGUCAUCCUUGAGAGUGCAGCUCCCUUUAAAUUAAGAAAAGGAAGAACAAGACCUGGUCAAGAAACAAAAAAGUCUUCCACGUGUUUAAGCCCCGCAGAAAAGUCUUCUAAGAAAUUUUGCACAACAAUUGCAGUGAGCUUGACUCUCAAAUGUGAAAGCAAAUCAAGGCCAGAAAGACCGCGUUACAAGCCUUCCUUGGUCGCCCUAAGACGCAGACAGGAAAGACCUUGACUUUGGGCCAAAAUCUACCAGUUUAGUCGAAGUUGAAUUUAGUAUCUAUACCAGUUAAACGAAUAACCGUGUAAUUAAAUUGUCUAAAUUUUGUCAAGAAAAGAAUUAUUGACAAAAUAUCAAGAAAAGAAUUGCAUUUCGUGUUGCACAUUUUAAUUAAUUAUACUAACAAACAUUUAACUGUACACUUGUUGCCUUAGGUAUGCUAAAUCAUUACAGUUUAAACUCAAAUUAGUGUCUUAAUUAGUGUUCACAUGUACGCAAAUGCCAUGAACAAAGAUAUUUCAUGAAUUUGAUUGCCCAUAGAAGGCAAAAGAGAUUGAAAAAAAAAAAGGUUGCAUACCGGUAUUGAAUUACUGGCAUCAAAAUGUACUUUUAAGACCUGAAUAUUGCUCCCUUUCUGAGAUACAAUUAGAUACAAUUUGAUUUUUUUUAGAAAUCUGUCCUUAGAAUUUAUAAUUUACUCUUUAGCACAAAGAGCAAUAAUUAGAUUCGACAACCAUGUGAAGAUGAUGGAGUCUGUUUUUAAAAUUUUUUUUUUCAAAAAAAAAAAAAAAGGUUGUGACAGGUUGUCGAAGCCUGUGCAAUAAUAAAACCUGCUCAAACUAAAAGUGAUUUCUGUAGAUAGCGGUGAGCAGGGUCGAAUCCACAGGGACUGGGAGUAAUUAUUUCUUUUCAAGUUCACAGUGACAAGGGGGGUGUUUUUGUGCAGAAGGUGACAAUCAAAGAAAUUCAAAUAAAAUCUAAGAAACUACUAAAAAUUAAAUAACAAAUUACUAAAAUCUAAUGAGUGAUAAUUAAGGAUCUAGCCAAGGAAAAACUUCAGCAAUGGUUCACCUAAUUGAUCAUCGAUGCAAAGCCAAUUCCAAUUAUUUAUCAAUAAAUAGGUUAUAACUACUAAACAAGCGAUGGCAGCCAACCCCUCCUUACUGUGUCGGUGAUCAAGGUACGCCCGUUAAUCACUGCUCUAAUUGAGAAAUAAUCCUAGGUACGCCCGUAGAAUUUAAUUCCCCAAUUGCCUUACGUAUUAGAGGAGCCCUAUUCUAACCAAAUAACGCACUACCAGGGUUAUUUUAGAUUAGCCCGCGUAUUCCCCUGACACAAACCUAAUCAUGCCAGUUGUCACUAUUUUAGAGCAAUUAAACAAUUACGGAUUUAAUGCCCUAAUUGACAAUAGAUUAUCCAAUCAACUAAUUAUCUGGAUCCAAGACAAUUAAUUAAUUAAAUAAUCAUAAGCAUAGCAAUCAAGAAAUAUGCGAAUACCAAUAAAUAAAAGAAAAAGAUAAAAUUAGAUCGAUCUCACAAUUUUAGAUGACCCAAAGCAUCCGUUGUCCCUUGACUAGACAAAGGGAAUUAGUUCAUUUUCCGUGAACAAAUCCCACAGGAAAGUGAAGAAACGAUCCCAACCAUUAUUCUUGUUCACGAGACUUCACCUUGACCGACUGAAUAAAGAAAAGCUUGGAAAACAAUGAUUGAUUCAAUUCUUCAAAGAGUCCCUGUCAUGCGUGGACUGAAGCUUCCUAAGAGACAAAAGAAAGGUCAAAGCUCUCUAAGAAAGCUCCUCACCUACGUGAACUGGAGCUAAAGCUAAACACUAGUCUAACUACUACGCUACAGGACGAAAAGAGAAAAAGGUAAUGCCCUCUCUCUGCAAUUACAAUUUGCCUGUUCUAAUCCUUCGCUCUCCUGUGCGGCGGCUCCCCUUCCGGAGAGGAAGAAGAAGACCCCUGACUUCAGCCCUUCGUUCCUCUUUUUAAUGCUUUUGUCUUCGGCAAUUACUAAAAUGGGCACAAGUUUGCCUUUGCCAACAAUGCCCCUGGGAUAAGCUCUGUGCCUUAGACUUCUUUUCUAUCAAAUUGGCACUUGUUAUCAUAUUUUCGUUCUACUCCCUGAAAUAUAUGCCAAACACUAAAAAUGAGUAGAAUCCAGCAAUUAAUCCACAUCGGGUCAGGUAAUAGGGAAAAUUAAUAAUAAAAUAAAUGAUAAAAUUACACCCUAUCAGGUUGCGAAUAAUUUCUUUCCGAUUGAACCGCUUUUGGCAAAGGUUACCAAAUCUAGCUCUGAUUUUUUCUCAAAAGUGGAAUCAACUCAGGACCACAAAUGCUGCUGACUGCUCUGCAUUAAUUGCGAGUCUUCCAAAUUAAAAUGCUUUUAACAAUCCGUGUGAAUGAUGCAGAUUGGAAAGAUACUAUUUUAAGCGCGAGUUUUUCAAUCCUGACUACUUACUCAAGGCGGGCGCUUACAUUUCAUCUAUCUUAUCUUAAUUACCCUCUUUCAUGGUCAAUUACGGUCCCACUACUUAAAUUAUUUUUUAUUUAGGAGUCCAAUUCUAUCUGUCUUAUCUUAAUUACGGUCUUUCAUGGUUAAUUACGGUCCCACUACUUAAAUUGUUUUUUAUUUAGUAGAAUCGUAUACCUGUUAGGAGUCCAAUUCUAUCUUACAUUUCAUCUAUCUUAUCUUAGUUACGUUCUUUCAUGGUAAUAGAGCAUCGAUGGAUGUUGUAUGCAGCGGAGUUGUUCUUCUCAUGAUACUGGCUAUUGCACCAGUUGCAGUAGCAGCAGCAAAGGAGUCUGCCGUGAAUUUAUUGGAAGCUGAAGCAUUGCUCAAGAGUGGCUGGUGGCGAGGCAGUACUACUGCAACAAACGUCUCUGCCCAUUGCCAUUGGAAUGGUAUCGUUUGCAACGAUGCUGGUAGCGUUACCGAAAUACUACUUCCGGGCAGCGGAAUUUACGAUGAGUUGACAAAUUUCAGCUUCUCUUCUUUUCCGAACCUGGUUAGACUAGAUCUCAGCGAGAAUAAACUUCACGGCGCCAUCCCACAUCAAAUAGGUGCACUCUCCAAACUCACCCAUCUCAAUUUGUCUUUCAACAGAUUUGAAGGUGAGCUUCCCGUCUUCUCUAGUAAACCUUACGCAACUAGCACAGCUCGAUGUUUCUUGGAAUUCGAUUGACAGCUUAAUUCCUCCGGGUAUCGGAAACUUGACAAACUUGGUUGCUCUAGACUUGAGCCACGAUUUUUUUUUUGGUCCAAUCCCUCCAACUCUUGGCCACUUGUCCAAAUUAGCCUCUCUCGAUCUCAGUGGCAAUGGACUUAAGGAAGACAUCCCACAUCAAAUAGGUACACUUUUCAAACUCACCUAUCUCAAUUUGUCGAAUAAUUUUAUCGAAGGCUUUAUUCCCUCCUCCAUCGCAAACUUGACAAAUUUGGUUACUCUAGACCUGAACAACAAUUCUUUUUUUGGUCCCAUCCCAUCCAUCCUUGGCCAAUUGUCCAAUCUAGAUUUCCUGAACCUCAAUAUUAACCACUUCAGUGGGAUAAUCCCUCCAGCACUUUUUAAUUUGACAAAGCUUUCCCGGCUAUACAUUGGCAGGAAUCCCGCAAUAAGGGGAGUUCUCCUUGAAGAAAUAGGAAAUUUGAAGAUUUUACUUGAAUUAGACUUGAGUUACAAUGGUUUUUCUGGCAACAUCCCUCCAACCCUUGGCCAAUUAUCCAAUCUAGCCUCCAUUAACCUCAACAAUAACCACUUCAGUGGGACAAUUCCUUCAGCUCUUUUUAAUCUGACAAAUCUUUCCCGACUAGACAUUCACUCUAAUCCUGCAAUGGGAGGAUUUCUCUCAGAAGAAAUAGGAAAUUUGAAGAGUUUAGUUAAAUUAAACUUCAGUGGCCUUAAUCUUUCAGGUGCCUUUACUUCAGCUCUUUGUCGCCUAACCAAACUAGUAUCUCUUUCAGGUGCUGAGAAUCAAAUUCAUGGUUCCAUUCCCUCUGAAAUAGGAAAUUUGAAAAAUUUGAAAUAUCUUUUCUUCGAGUCCAACCAGCUGACUGGUCAAAUCCCUCCGACCCUUGGCAGUCUGACUACUCUGAUUUAUUUGGACCUCUCUUCUAACCAAAUAAGUGGUUCCAUACCUCUUCAACUUUCCGUUAUACCUUCUCUAAAAUUUUUAGAUCUUUCCUCAAACCAACUUAGAGGUCCGAUUCCAUUUACAUUAAAUUUGGACACCUGGUCUAGAUUGAAGCAUUUAUAUCUACAAAACAACUCUUUGAGUGAUAUUUUUCCAUGGAAAAUUCUAGAUCUCCCUUUGUUACAGACAGUGGACUUAAGUCGUAACCGCAUUAGCGGAAAGAUACCAACCCAAUCGGAGUGGUACUUUUCGACUUUGGAUCUUUCCCACAAUAUUCUCUCUGGCACUGUCCCCUCGUCUCUUAUGCGACUGGGGGAAGUCGACCUGUCCUAUAAUGCUUUGGAAGGUGAACUUCCGUGUGAGCUUGUCAUUCAGUUUGGUUCAGAAAGAUUUGUCGGCAAUCCAGGCUUGCGUUACACUUCCACUCUUUGUGGUGUAUCUCCUCCUGUUAUGAAAAAUCACAGACAUCACCCCCCAUACUACAUCAUAGGUCUUGGCGUGUCCUUGUUGGUGUUCUCAUUAAUUGGCGGAUUAGUGCUUUUUAUCUUCUGCAAAACCAAAGUCAAGAAAGUGGAAGUUGAGCUGAUGGACAAUAAACAUGGAGACAUUUUCAGAAUAUGGAACUACGAUGGACAUAUGGCUUAUGAAGACAUAAUUAAAGCAACAAACGAUUUUGAUGUCUGUUAUUGCAUCGGGACAGGGGGGUAUGGUUCUGUAUACAGAGCGCGGUUGCCAAGUGGGAAAGUAGUGGCUUUGAAAAAGCUUCACCGUUUGGAAGGCGAGAAUCCAAAUUUUGACAAGAGCUUUAGGAACGAAGCCGACAUGCUAUCUAAAAUCAGGCACAGGAACAUUGUAACGCUCUUCGGAUUCUGCCUGCACAAGCGAUGCAUGUUUCUGAUUUAUGAGUAUAUGGACAGAGGAAGCUUGUUUUGUAUCUUGAGAGAUGAAACCGAAGCUGUGGAGCUGGAUUGGAUUAAAAGAGUGAAUUUGAUCAAGGGCAUUGCCAGUGCAUUGUCCUACUUGCAUCAUGAUUGUGAUCCGCCAGUCAUUCACAGGGAUGUAUCAAGCAACAACAUUCUUUUGAAUUCACAGCUCGAAGCAACUCUUUCUGACUUCGGAACCGCGAGGAUUUUGGAACUUGAUUCAUCAAAUCAAACAGUCAUUGCAGGCACCUUUGGCUACAUGGCACCAGGUAGGUUGCCUUGCUAUCCCAGAUCCCUUUCUGCUUUUCACCUUGUUUUUCAUAUUUUCUUGAUGCACAUAUUAGGCUUAACUUUCAAGGACAGAAAAGAAAAAAAUUCUUCCAACUGAAACGAUUAAUUUUUUUUUUUCGAAUAGUAAGUCUAGAGUUGUCCCAUUUGAGAUUAACUUUAUUUGUAUCCAAAUAUAUACAUACUUGUCAAUGCAGAGCUAGCCUAUACCAUGGUGGUCACUGAAAAGUCCGAUGUGUAUAGCUUUGGAGUUGUGGUGCUGGAAACGCUGUUUGGAGAGCAUCCACAAGAUUUCCUUUCUUGCAUAUCAUCACAACCCAAUGAACCAAUAAUGCUGAAGGAUCUUCUUGAUGCCCGUCUGCCCCCUCCGACUAACCCUUUGGUGGUUCGAAAUGUGGUUCUCGCGACAGCGUUAGCCCUGGAUUGCGUUAACGCAAACCCGAAAUGUCGACCAACAAUGCAGCAAGUGGUGAACCGAUUUGAAGUGGGCAGGCGAGAAUCAACUAGGCCUUUGCACACCAUUGCUGUGAAUCAGCUUGUUAGUCCACCAGUACUUUCACUGCCUGACCAAACCUGCGCAGAUGGGAGGAGUAGCUUAAGCACCAUAAAUGAAUUCCACGUGGAUAUCUCUGCGACUCUGCCAUCAUCCAAUUUUUCUAUCCAUGUUUCU